AGGCCAUCGUGUUAGUCGCGGUAUCAAGUACAAGCCAGUCUCCAUUUGAUCCAUCGUCAGUGAAACUCUCUGAGACUCUCUGAGAGAGUGAAAUCUCUCGCUAAAACGCCGAGAACCAUCAUGACUUUCCGAUGUUUGCUCAUGUUUCCAUUUUGGCGGCGUAACUCCAGGUAUGUGUCGCCACAUUCUCGGGUUACGUUGAAUAAAGAAAGGAAAAGUUAAAUAAAGCAGCAAUAUUUUCUGAGGUAAAAGUUACUAGAACCGUGCCUACAAUCAAGCUAGCCAAUCACUGCUCUGACCUCAUCAGCCCGUUUGUAUUCUAUUAUUUGAUUCGCUCUUGACGCGUGUGACAGGACAGCUAACCAAUCACGAUGAUCUCGUCUUCGGAAAAGAUUAUUUUAUUCGCUUACAUCAGAAACAGCUAACCUCUUUAAAAACUAGCUGUUGUUCUCACUACAUUGCAUUGUUAUGAUUCGUAAAAGUUUUACCCUGACACUGACACUGUUACAUAUACUCGCCAACGCCGAUUUUUACUCGCAUUUGGCGCUUGGUGAGUGUUAAUUUUAGGCCCUGGGUGAGCCUGUGCUAAUGCUAGCCUGUUCUUGGCUGACAGGAGUGGAACUCGAUGAGGUCUUCUGUUGUUGUAGCGCAUCCACCUUAAGGUUUGAUGUUUUGGACAUGCCGAGGUGCAGAUCUUGCCUUUAAUUAAAUGGUAUGGAGAGCAACUGUACAACCGUACUGGGGAAGGACCUGUGAGAUCUUGGGCAGCUUCUUGAAGGAAUUUCUUGAGGGAUGUUAGUACGAAACAGGAAAAAUAAGAGAACUCAAUUAUCUAGGUAGCCAUGUUGAAUAGGGUGUUGCUAUCUGGAAGUGAUCUGGAAGUUCUUAGAAGAGGAGGGAAGGGACCCAGUGGAGAAAUUCUUGAAGAAGUUAACUGCAACUGGAGAUGGGAGGAAGAGUUACUUUUAUAGUGCUUCUGCAACUUGCAACUUCUCCCAGGCAGGCCCUACAGAUGAUAGUGUCUUAACACUGGUGAGCAAGCCUCAGGUAACAGUAUGGAGUUUUCCAUCCAGCUCUUUUAUUCAAAUUUUGAAAAUGCAAAUAAAAAACCUGAACAUGAACAGGAUAAAGCAGUUACUGAAGUUGAAUGAAUGAAUGAAUGAAUGAAUGAAUAUCAAACGUUUUAAAAUUGUAAAAAGAAACCUUGGAUGGAGCUUGAAGGAAGAAACAAUUUAGGAAAGAACAAAGGCUCAGCAGAGGAAGCCUGUCCUUCUCUGACUAGCAAUGAAAACAGCCAAGGAUGAAAAUCCUGGUUGUGGCUGUGAUCAGUAGAUUUAACUGCAGGUAUAACUAGUUUCAGCGUGGUUGAAGAGGAAAGUUGGUCAUGCUAGGAGCUCAACUGACAAACAUGCAGCAAGAGCUUGACAUUCCUUCUAGG
Pangasianodon hypophthalmus (striped catfish) is the source of this 1438-nucleotide long non-coding RNA. RefSeq lists it as uncharacterized. The record is from RefSeq and is a predicted model, not a curated record. The transcript has 3 exons. Lineage: Eukaryota; Metazoa; Chordata; Actinopteri; Siluriformes; Pangasiidae.